Molecule: ribosomal RNA, 405 nt
Filed under: uncultured bacterium
Lineage: Bacteria
Description: partial 16S ribosomal RNA
Rfam family: Bacterial small subunit ribosomal RNA
Source: RNAcentral
GAUGAACGCUGGCGGCGUGCCUAAUACAUGCAAGUCGAGCGAAGCGGGGACGGGGGAGUAACACGAGGGGAACCGCCUAUAAGACUGGGAUAACUUCGGGAAAACGGAGCGAAACCGGAAAAUGAUAGAUGGAACCGCGCUGCAUUAGCUAGUGGGUAAGGUAACGGCUUACCAAGGCAACGCACCCUAGCCGACCGGAGAGGGUGAUCGGCCACACUGGCACUGAGACACGGUCCAGACUCCUACGGGAGGCAGCAGUAGUGAAUCUUCCGCAAUGGGCGCAAGCCUGACGCAGCCACGCCGCGUGUGUGAUGAAGGUCUUCGGGUCGUAAAGCUCUUUUAUUAGGGAAGCGGUACCUACUCAGAAAGCCCCGGCUAACUACGUGCCAGCAGCCGCGGUAAUUC